UUGAUCUAUUUGAUUAACAAGUUAUGUUAAUCUAUCAAAUGGCUUAUUUGUAAAUAAAGCAAACAAUGAAUGCAACAUCUCAGCUUUCGUUGUCUGAUGUAACAUUCAAUGGUGGACGCUUAUGCUGAGUCGGGCGAAGAUGUUGCUAACAGAGGUUAACUGUAAGAGUUAACGGGGUGUCGAAAAGCUUACGCCAUUGAAGCUUCCACCAUUGAAGCUUCCUCCUUCCUUCCCCGAUCUCCAGCCAUCUCCCACCGACACUACCAUCUUCACCGUGUCCAUCUUCCACCACACCGCUUCCUCAUCUCCACCUUCAUUCCACCGACACCGCUUCCUCAUCUCCAGGCCACCUUCAUUCCACCGACGGCACUACCAUCUCCGGCAGUUUCACCGCCAAAUCAAAUGAAAACCCUAUGAUUAAAGGGUGAAGUUAAGAAUUCAAAUUGUAGUCGUACGGUAUACAAUCGAUGUUUAAGAAAGGUCAUCUCCAUCUCUCUUGAGUUGAGGAAGCCCACAAAUAACUUUUCGACAUUACUUGCAUUGGAGUGGCUUUUGAGGAAUUUUGUUAGUGCCUGAUUGACCGGAUAAGUUUUGAGAUACUACCUACAUUACAUCCUUGGAGUUGAUAUUGAUGAUACAAUGUAGACAUGCAGUUAUAUCAUCAGUUCAUCACCCCUUCUCUGUGGAUAGCCAAAAGCUUCCAGGAUAUGAAAAGAGGAAAAUAUAUUUUUGAAUUCAGGCUGGUGAGGAGACUUUGCUUUGGAAGGGGUCCUGGGUCAGGAUUGAAAAUCAGAGGAGCAAUGGCAGAGAUAUGAGGUUUUAAAGUUGGUUUUUAAAGUUGAAGCGGCUUCUGAAUUUUCCAUCCUUCAAUGAAUUAGAUUAUGAGAUUAGCGGUGGCAGUAGUGGUGGUGGAUGUUUUGAAGAUCAGGUGAUUCAAAGGUUCUAGCCAAGGAUGAUGAAAAUAACGUUUGAGCAUUGUACAUAUGGGGGAAACACAAGAACAGAACUAGGGCAAAUAAACAGAUUCAGCUAGAGAAGACUUGGUCAAAGCUCGUAAAUAUGCUCCUGAUGACAUGGUUUUUGCUUAGCAUGAAAAUUUUGUAGCUAGAACCAGAAGGGGCAUGGCAAAGAAAUGCUGGGACAAAGAACUGAACCCAAGAGAUCUAUUGCAAAAUCUUUGAGGCUGCUUGAUGUGUUUAGUUUAUUGCAAGCUUAUUUGUACCUUUUUUAAUUUUUUUCUCUAUGUAACUAGCAACUUGCUUUUUAAAGACUGCAUUUUGUGGUGUUCAUUAAAUUUACAUGUGAUGUGUUCUUUAUCUUUUGUUUCAUUUAUCUUCACAUUCUGUAAAAUUUAUUCUUAGAGUGUCUUUGCUAAAUUUCCUUAGUAUUAUUUCAGGAGGUUAUGACUUGCU
This is a long non-coding RNA of Chenopodium quinoa (quinoa), 1412 nucleotides long. RefSeq lists it as uncharacterized. The transcript has 7 exons. Lineage: Eukaryota; Viridiplantae; Streptophyta; Magnoliopsida; Caryophyllales; Amaranthaceae. The record is from RefSeq and is a predicted model, not a curated record.